Regulatory RNA element from Novosphingobium sp. Rr 2-17, 115 nucleotides. It matches the Rfam family "ALIL pseudoknot". Lineage: Bacteria; Pseudomonadati; Pseudomonadota; Alphaproteobacteria; Sphingomonadales; Sphingomonadaceae. The record is from Rfam.
CGCUUAUUUUGCCGUGGCGGAGUUCGACCACCGCGAGAGAUGAUGAUGUCGUUUAUCGACGCUCAUCGCGAGGAUCAGGGUAUCGAACCGAUCUGCCGUGAACUGGCGAUCGCCC